This 445-nucleotide ribosomal RNA is filed under the name uncultured bacterium. Its description in RNAcentral is "bacterial SSU rRNA". It matches the Rfam family "Bacterial small subunit ribosomal RNA", at positions 56 to 516 of the family's 1533-position model. The record is from RNAcentral.
UGCAAGUAGACGGUGAACCCGCCUUCGCGUGGGGAUAGUGGCGAACGGGUGAGUAACACGUGGGCAACCUGCCCUCAGCUCUGGGAUAACUCCAAGAAAUUGGGGCUAAUACUGGAUAUGACCGCUGACCGCAUGGUCUGGUGGUGGAAAGAUUUAUCGGCUGGGGAUGGGCCCGCGGCCUAUCAGCUUGUUGGUGGGGUAGUGGCCUACCAAGGCGACGACGGGUAGCCGGCCUGAGAGGGUGACCGGCCACACUGGGACUGAGACACGGCCCAGACUCCUACGGGAGGCAGCAGUGGGGAAUAUUGCGCAAUGGGCGAAAGCCUGACGCAGCGACGCCGCGUGGGGGAUGACGGCCUUCGGGUUGUAAACCUCUUUCAGCAGGGACGAAGCGAAAGUGACGGUACCUGCAGAAGAAGCACCGGCCAACUACGUGCCAGCAGCC